This 24-nucleotide non-coding RNA is filed under the name Arabidopsis thaliana (thale cress). Lineage: Eukaryota; Viridiplantae; Streptophyta; Magnoliopsida; Brassicales; Brassicaceae. The record is from RNAcentral.
UGGCAUGAAAAUAUGUUACUGAUG